UCCCUACUUCCAUAACAAACUUGGGAAAUCUAUCCAUUCUCCGAUUACGGGGUAACAAACUUUCUGGUUUUAUACCUUCAGAAGUUGGGUUCUUAAAAUCUUUAAAAACACUUGACUUGUCAAGUAAUGUUCUAUCCGGACCAAUCCCUCCUUCCAUUGGAAAAUUGAGAGAGUUAUCAAUUCUUUCCCUUUUUGACAACAAACUCUCAAGAUGCAUCCCCCAUGAACUUGGGAUGCU
RNAcentral lists this unclassified non-coding RNA (238 nucleotides) under Hevea brasiliensis (rubber tree). The record is from RNAcentral. Lineage: Eukaryota; Viridiplantae; Streptophyta; Magnoliopsida; Malpighiales; Euphorbiaceae.